ACGAGAUACUAACUGUUUCAUAAAAAUUUAUAAUAGAAUUUUAUUUUUUAGUCAAAAAGCUAAAAUAUAUUUAAAAGACGAGAAGACCCUAUAAAUCUUUAUAUUUAAAUUAUUAUAAUUUUGAAGAUUUAUUUUGUUGUAAUAAUUAAUAAUAUUUUAUUGGGGUGAUAUUAAAAUUUAAUAAACUUUUAAUUUUAAAAUUCAUUAAUUUAUGAAUAAUG
Molecule: ribosomal RNA, 221 nt
Filed under: Wohlfahrtia nuba
Lineage: Eukaryota; Metazoa; Arthropoda; Insecta; Diptera; Sarcophagidae
Description: partial large subunit ribosomal RNA
Source: RNAcentral